Molecule: transfer RNA, 72 nt
Filed under: Camelus ferus (Wild Bactrian camel)
Lineage: Eukaryota; Metazoa; Chordata; Mammalia; Artiodactyla; Camelidae
Rfam family: tRNA
About the family: Transfer RNA (tRNA) molecules are approximately 80 nucleotides in length. Their secondary structure includes four short double-helical elements and three loops (D, anti-codon, and T loops). Further hydrogen bonds mediate the characteristic L-shaped molecular structure. tRNAs have two regions of fundamental functional importance: the anti-codon, which is responsible for specific mRNA codon recognition, and the 3' end, to which the tRNAs corresponding amino acid is attached (by aminoacyl-tRNA synthetases). tRNAs cope with the degeneracy of the genetic code in two manners: having more than one tRNA (with a specific anti-codon) for a particular amino acid; and 'wobble' base-pairing, i.e. permitting non-standard base-pairing at the 3rd anti-codon position.
Source: Rfam by way of RNAcentral
GAAGGUAUAGCUGAGUGGUAAAGUGCACACUUUGUGUGCACGAAGUCCUGGGUUCGAUACCCAGAACCUCCA